This 301-nucleotide ribosomal RNA is filed under the name uncultured bacterium. RNAcentral's name for it is "partial 16S ribosomal RNA". It matches the Rfam family "Bacterial small subunit ribosomal RNA", at positions 509 to 807 of the family's 1533-position model. The record is from RNAcentral.
CAGCCGCCGCGGGAAUACGAAGGGGGCUAGCGUUGCUCGGAAUCACUGGGCGUAAAGCGCACGUAGGCGGAUUUUUAAGUCAGGGGUGAAAUCCCGAGGCUCAACCUCGGAACUGCCUCUGAUACUGGAGAUCUUGAGUUCGGAAGAGGUUGGUGGAACAGCUAGUGUAGAGGUGAAAUUCGUAGAUAUUAGCUAGAACACCAGUGGCGAAGGCGGCCAACUGGUCCGACACUGACGCUGAGGCGCGAAAGCGUGGGGAGCAAACAGGAUUAGAUACCCCUGUAGUCCCUGUCUCUUAUAC